GAUCCUGGCUCAGAUUGAACGCUGGCGGAAUGCUUUACACAUGCAAGUCGAACGGCAGCACGGACUUCGGUCUGGUGGCGAGUGGCGAACGGGUGAGUAAUAUAUCGGAACGUGCCCAGUCGUGGGGGAUAACGUAGCGAAAGUUACGCUAAUACCGCAUACGAUCUACGGAUGAAAGCGGGGGAUCGCAAGACCUCGCGCGAUUGGAGCGGCCGAUAUCAGAUUAGGUAGUUGGUGGGGUAAAGGCUCACCAAGCCAACGAUCUGUAGCUGGUCUGAGAGGACGACCAGCCACACUGGAACUGAGACACGGUCCAGACUCCUACGGGAGGCAGCAGUGGGGAAUUUUGGACAAUGGACGCAAGUCUGAUCCAGCCAUUCCGCGUGCAGGAUGAAGGCCCUCGGGUUGUAAACUGCUUUUGUACGGAACGAAAAGGUUUCCAUUAAUACUGGGAGCUCAUGACGGUACCGUAAGAAUAAGCACCGGCUAACUACGUG
This 497-nucleotide ribosomal RNA is filed under the name uncultured bacterium. RNAcentral describes it as "bacterial SSU rRNA". It matches the Rfam family "Bacterial small subunit ribosomal RNA", at positions 15 to 507 of the family's 1533-position model. The record is from RNAcentral.